GACGUAGGGCGCGAGCGUUGUCCGGAUUUAUUGGGCGUAAAGAGCUCGUAGGCGGCUUGUCGCGUCGUCCGUGAAAACCUGGGGCUCAACUCCGGGCCUGCAGUCGAUACGGGCAAACUGGAGUGUUGCAGGGGAGACUGGAAUUCCUGGUGUAGCGGUGAAAUGCGCAGAUAUCAGGAGGAACACCGAUGGCGAAGGCAGGUCUCUGGGCCACUACUGACGCUGAGGCACGAAGGUCAGGGGAGCAAACGGG
RNAcentral lists this ribosomal RNA (253 nucleotides) under uncultured bacterium. RNAcentral describes it as "partial 16S ribosomal RNA". It matches the Rfam family "Bacterial small subunit ribosomal RNA", at positions 524 to 776 of the family's 1533-position model. The record is from RNAcentral.